This 29-nucleotide non-coding RNA is filed under the name Rattus norvegicus (Norway rat). The record is from RNAcentral. Lineage: Eukaryota; Metazoa; Chordata; Mammalia; Rodentia; Muridae.
UGUGUGUGAACAUUUUGUUGCUGUGUCAA